RNAcentral lists this long non-coding RNA (453 nucleotides) under Salvia miltiorrhiza (redroot sage). RNAcentral describes it as "long non-coding RNA (SMIL_LNC001848)". Lineage: Eukaryota; Viridiplantae; Streptophyta; Magnoliopsida; Lamiales; Lamiaceae. The record is from RNAcentral.
CAACCUCAAAAUUGCCAGCUCUGAAACAUCUGGCCUGUUCUAAAACGUGACAGCUCUGAGUCUCUGCUCCUCUAGUCUAACUAUGAGCAUGGGAAACCACGUGAAAAGACUUUGGAUUACAUCCAAAUGGUUUUUAUUUCGCGAAUUAUGGCUCAACUGUCGAAAAUCUCAAGCACACAAAGUGUGAAAAAUGGUGAUAUUGAUUAUAAAGGCGAUCACAUUAGGGAAUUCACUUCUAGCGGAGAAUUGGGUCUGAUCGAAUUGCUUACAUUACUGUUUUGUUGCUUCUUAAACUUUGAGUUAAUUGCAUGAUCGAGAGAGGUGUAUUGAUUGUAAAAUUUUGAAUUGACUUUGAGAAUGAUUGGAUGGAAAUUAGCAUUGUUGAAAUCAAUCUCUUCCUAGGAUUCAUAUGGAUUUUGCUUGAGGACAAGCAAAAGGCUAAGUGUGGGGGGG